UAACGAAAUUUUUAUCUAAAUUUCGUCAAUCAUAGAUGAAAGAUAUAAAUCUAUACAUUUGUAUCUUGAAUUCAUGAUUGAUCAGGUCUAGAUAAGUUUUUUCAUUGAUUCUUGAAUUCUAUGGAUUUCUAUUUGUUUCUUAAUUUGCUUUGUUUUCUGAAAAUUAAAUUUUUUUUUCUUGGGAAAAUUAGUUCUAAUAAAUGUGCUAUUCCUGCACUUGCAAAGUCGAAAAUAGGGUACAAAUUCUAACCUGGGUUGCUUUCUAGGAAAUAAGUAAUGUGAACAGGAAGGAGAAAUUAGAGCUAAUAGAUCAUGUGUUGGCUAACAAGGAGGAUAACUUUCCCAUUAUAACCCAGGUAUGUUUGUUUUAUUUUCUUACUUACAAUCGCAAGUAUUUUUAGAUUAAUUUGCCCAUAUUAAAACUAAAUAUUUUCUUCAAACGAUCUUAAUUAAAAGUAUAAUCCCCACACCUAUUUAAUAUAUUCAAAAUUUUUAAAUAAUUUUCAAGUAUUUUAUAAUAAACGAAUAAGAGCUUUCAUCUUUAUCAAUUAGACUAAUUAACCCUAACGGACACAUGUUUCAUAUUAAUGCUUCAAGUUUUGAAAGUUUAUUUAUUAUUGUAUUACCAUAUACCUGUAUCUCUCUGCCUUUAGUUCAAUUUGGCCAAAGCAUUCCCACUCUUUAGUGUUUUGAAUUUGAGAAUAAUGUGAUCACUUUCACACCACAUAGCUACGUACCUCUUAUUUCUAUGAUUCAAAUGGACCUUGACUGCUGCUACUUUUGGGUGA
RNAcentral lists this unclassified non-coding RNA (788 nucleotides) under Hevea brasiliensis (rubber tree). The record is from RNAcentral. Lineage: Eukaryota; Viridiplantae; Streptophyta; Magnoliopsida; Malpighiales; Euphorbiaceae.